RNAcentral lists this ribosomal RNA (312 nucleotides) under uncultured Glomeromycotina. Its description in RNAcentral is "LSU rRNA". Lineage: Eukaryota; Fungi; Glomeromycota. The record is from RNAcentral.
UUGAAAGGGAAACGAUUGAAGUCAGUCAUGCUGGUGGGAAUCAACUUAGGGGNNACUCUAGGUGCACUUCUUCGCUUGGCAGGUUAACGUCGAUCUUGAAUGCCAUAAAAUAAUUGGGGGAAGGUAGCUCCUUCGGGAGUGUUAUAGCCCUUGAUAGAUGUGAUGUUUGGGGUCGAGGAUUGCAACGGAUACCCUUUGGGGCUAGCCGCCUGAUCUCUAAUCGGUGUUGGGUUACGGAUAGCAUGCUGACCGUGAUCUAAUUACUGGUUAAAAGGUUAGAGCGUGCAUAAAUUCGUUAAGGAUGUUGACGUA